UAGUUCUUAUUGGUUAGUUGUGAUUAGUUGUGUUAUGGUGGGCCUGUUAGUGUAUAGGUUAGAAAUAGGUUAGUUUAAUCACAUUAUAUACAUAUACAGGUUAUGUUCUAGCAGAACUGGGGGUUACGGGAGAAAAAGGAAAGAACAGCGAGUGGCGGCGGCGAGAGAAAGAGAGGAAGAAAGAGAGAAAAAAAGAAAGAAAAAAGAAAGAGAGAAGUGGAAAUUGGAGAACGGCGUGGGCUUCGAUCCGGAGCCUUAAAGGUCCUCGACAGUUCCAGACGUAGACUCAGUUCGUGCAGAGCAGAGGCCAGACUUCAUCACUCUUCCAGUGUCAUAGACGUACUACCUCCACUAUGUUUUCGUUAUUAUUUAUUAUUUUUGAGUUAGACAUUUAUUUAUUUCGUCUUUAGUUUGGAUUUUUAUUAGGGGUCCACAUUGUAUGGAUUCCCAAGUUGUACUCUGGAGGUUUUAUUCUUAUAAUGAGAAUUUAUUGGAGAUUAAUGUAUUGGAGGAUUUAUUAUUUAAUUAUUAAUUUAGAUUUCCCUUACAACGUUA
This is a long non-coding RNA of Cornus florida, 555 nucleotides long. RefSeq lists it as uncharacterized. The transcript has 2 exons. Lineage: Eukaryota; Viridiplantae; Streptophyta; Magnoliopsida; Cornales; Cornaceae. The record is from RefSeq and is a predicted model, not a curated record.